GACGAACGCUGGCGGCGUGCUUAACACAUGCAAGUCGAACGGAAAGGCCCUGCUUUUGUGGGGUGCUCGAGUGGCGAACGGGUGAGUAACACGUGAGUAACCUGCCAUUGACUUUGGGAUAACUUCAGGAAACUGGGGCUAAUACCGGAUAGGAGCUCCUGCUGCAUGGUGGGGGUUGGAAAGUUUCGGCGGUUGGGGAUGGACUCGCGGCUUAUCAGCUUGUUGGUGUGGUAGUGGCUUACCAAGGCUUUGACGCGUAGCCGGCCUGAGAGGGUGACCGGCCACAUUGGGACUGAGAUACGGCACAGACUACUACGGUAGGCAGCAGAGGAGAAUGUUGCACAAUGGACGGAAGCCUGAUGCAGCAACGCCGCGUGCGGGAUGACGGGCUUCGGGUUGUAAACCGCUUUCGCCUGUGACGAAGCGUGAGUGACGGUAAUGGGUAAAGAAGCACCGGCUAACUACGUG
This 468-nucleotide ribosomal RNA is filed under the name uncultured bacterium. Its description in RNAcentral is "partial 16S ribosomal RNA". It matches the Rfam family "Bacterial small subunit ribosomal RNA", at positions 28 to 507 of the family's 1533-position model. The record is from RNAcentral.